This 484-nucleotide ribosomal RNA is filed under the name Anodonthyla pollicaris. RNAcentral's name for it is "partial 16S ribosomal RNA". The stretch from base 1 to 402 matches the Rfam family "Bacterial large subunit ribosomal RNA", at positions 705 to 1300 of the family's 2925-position model. The record is from RNAcentral. Lineage: Eukaryota; Metazoa; Chordata; Amphibia; Anura; Microhylidae.
GUUUGACCCCCCGAAACCAGGCGAGCUACUUCUAAACAGCCACAAGCCAACCCUUCUCCGUCGCAAAGGAGUGGGAAGAUUUAAAAGUAGAGGCGACACACCUACCGAGCCUGGAGAUAGCUGGUUAUUUAGGAAAAGGAUCUAAGUCCACCUCUAAGUUUUUUUAGUGCACCCAGACAAAAAUAAACUUACAAGUCAUUCAAAUAAGGUACAGCCUACUUGAAUAAGGAAACAGCCUGCAACACAGGGUAAUGCCCACCCCCGUGAUCAGGUGGGCCUAAAAGCAGCCAGCCUUCAAAAAGCGUCCAAGCUUCAUCACUACAACAGAUAAUUAUAUUAUCAACCCACAACCCUCAACCACUACUAAAUAACCUCAUAUUCAUAUGAGAGAUAUUAUGCUAGAACUAGUAACAAGAAGAAGCACUUCUCCUAGAUAAAAGCUUAAGCCACAGUGAACCGUUCGCCGGCAAUUACCGCCACUAAC